Molecule: ribosomal RNA, 722 nt
Filed under: uncultured fungus
Lineage: Eukaryota; Fungi
Description: eukaryotic LSU rRNA
Rfam family: 5.8S ribosomal RNA (bases 352-505)
Source: RNAcentral
UACACACCGCCCGUCGCUACUACCGAUUGAAUGGCUUAGUGAAUCCUUCGGAUUGGCUAUUUUUUUCUGGCAACAGAAUUAAACUGCUAAAAAGUUGGGCAAACUUGGUCAUUUAGAGGAAGUAAAAGUCGUAACAAGGUUUCCGUAGGUGAACCUGCGGAAGGAUCAUUAAAGAGUAAGGGUGCUCAGCGCCCGACCUCCAACCCUUUGUUGUUAAAACUACCUUGUUGCUUUGGCGGGACCGCUCGGUCUCGAGCCGCUGGGGAUUCGUCCCAGGCGAGCGCCCGCCAGAGUUAAACCAAACUCUUGUUAUUAAACCGGUCGUCUGAGUUAAAAUUUUGAAUAAAUCAAAACUUUCAACAACGGAUCUCUUGGUUCUCGCAUCGAUGAAGAACGCAGCGAAAUGCGAUAAGUAAUGUGAAUUGCAGAAUUCAGUGAAUCAUCGAAUCUUUGAACGCACAUUGCGCCCCUUGGUAUUCCGAGGGGCAUGCCUGUUCGAGCGUCAUUACACCACUCAAGCUAUGCUUGGUAUUGGGUGCCGUCCUUAGUUGGGCGCGCCUUAAAGACCUCGGCGAGGCCACUCCGGCUUUAGGCGUAGUAGAAUUUAUUCGAACGUCUGUCAAAGGAGAGGAACUCUGCCGAUUGAAACCUUUAUUUUUCUAGGUUGACCUCGGAUCAGGUAGGGAUACCCGCUGAACUUAAGCAUAUCAAUAAGCGGAGGA